This 253-nucleotide ribosomal RNA is filed under the name uncultured bacterium. Its description in RNAcentral is "partial 16S ribosomal RNA". It matches the Rfam family "Bacterial small subunit ribosomal RNA", at positions 524 to 776 of the family's 1533-position model. The record is from RNAcentral.
UACGAAGGGUGCAAACGUUGCUCGGAAUUAUUGGGCGUAAAGCGCACGUAGGCGGUAUUGCAAGUCGGAUGUGAAAUCCCUCGGCUUAACCAAGGAAGUGCAUCCGAAACUGCUGUACUUGAGUACGAAAGAGGAUCGCGGAAUUCCCGGUGUAGAGGUGAAAUUCGUAGAUAUCGGGAGGAACACCUGUGGCGAAAGCGGCUCACUGGACCAUUACUGACGCUGAGGCUCGAAAGCUAGGGGAGCAAACAGG